GAUGAACGCUGGCGGUAUGCUUAACACAUGCAAGUCGAACGAAGUACUUCGGUACUUAGUGGCGGACGGGUGAGUAACGCGUGAGAAUCUGCCUUCAGGAGUGGGACAACAGUUGGAAACGACUGCUAAUACCGCAUAUGUCGAGAGAUGAAAGAUUUAUCGCCUGAAGAUGAGCUCGCGUCCGAUUAGCUAGUUGGUGAGGUAAUAGCUCACCAAGGCACCGAUCGGUAGCUGGUUUGAGAGGACAACCAGCCACACUGGGACUGAGACACGGCCCAGACUCCUACGGGAGGCAGCAGUGGGGAAUUUUCCGCAAUGGGCGCAAGCCUGACGGAGCAAUACCGCGUGGGGGAUGAAGGUCUGUGGAUUGUAAACCCCUUUUCUCUAGGAAGAAGUUCUGACGGUACUAGAGGAAUCAGCAUCGGCUAACUCCG
This 434-nucleotide ribosomal RNA is filed under the name uncultured cyanobacterium. Its description in RNAcentral is "bacterial SSU rRNA". It matches the Rfam family "Bacterial small subunit ribosomal RNA", at positions 28 to 505 of the family's 1533-position model. Lineage: Bacteria; Bacillati; Cyanobacteriota. The record is from RNAcentral.